GACGAACGCUGGCGGCGUGCUUAACACAUGCAAGUCGAACGGUAAGGCCCUUCGGGGUACACGAGUGGCGAACGGGUGAGUAACACGUGGGUGAUCUGCCCUGCACUUCGGGAUAAGCCUGAGAAACUGGGUCUAAUACCGGAUAGGACCACUGCCUGCAUGGGUGGUGGUGGAAAGCUUUUGCGGUGUGGGAGGGGCCCGCGGCCUAUCAGCUUGUUGGUGGGGUGAUGGCCUACCAAGGCGACGACGGGUAGCCGGCCUGAGAGGGUGACCGGCCACACUGGGACUGAGAUACUGCCCAGACUCCUACGGGAGGCAGCAGUGGGGAAUAUUGCACAAUGGGCGCAAGCCUGAUGCAGCGACGCCGCGUGAGGGAUGACGGCCUUCGGGUUGUAAACCUCUUGCAGCACCGACGAAGCGCAAGUGACGGUAGGUGCAGAAGAAGGACCGGCCAACUACGUGCCAGCCGCCGCGGUAA
This 478-nucleotide ribosomal RNA is filed under the name uncultured bacterium. RNAcentral's name for it is "partial 16S ribosomal RNA". It matches the Rfam family "Bacterial small subunit ribosomal RNA", at positions 28 to 523 of the family's 1533-position model. The record is from RNAcentral.